UGUACCUAAUGUUUCAGUUGUGGUUUUCAAGAGGUUUCUCACUGUCUUCUUUUGUCUUUUUGGAAUUCUGUCCUGGAACUUCCAUAUUAGGUACAAAAAGAUUUGGACCCUGGAUGAUGAGAGGCCACAUGGAGGAAAAUAAGGUGACUUCAGCUACUCACAAGCAAUAGUUGUUGUGCCUGUGGAGGUCUGGAUAUCCCCAGAUGCUGAAGUUACAGUUGGCCAACAUGGGGAACCAAACUCAGGCCUGUAGGAGGAACUGCAAGUGCUGAGUCAGCUCUCCAGCCCCUUGAAGCCAAACUUUCUGUUUCUAUAGAAACACUAUUACAUAUAUUACAAGUCAUUGACCAUUGGUGAUCAGUUCAACCUGAAGCCCAUUCCUUUUCCUCAAGAGAGUUGGAGUAGAGCUGAAAUCUCCAAAUUCAGAAACCACUGACUGAAUCCUAAAAAUACGAACAGAAAAUACCCUGCGUCCGUUGAAGCCAACAAUUUGGUGUCGGGAGCGGG
Long non-coding RNA from Mesocricetus auratus (golden hamster), 507 nucleotides. RefSeq lists it as uncharacterized. The transcript is spliced from 3 exons. The record is from RefSeq and is a predicted model, not a curated record. NCBI's taxonomy places the organism in Eukaryota, Metazoa, Chordata, Mammalia, Rodentia, Cricetidae.